Lucilia sericata (common green bottle fly) is the source of this 388-nucleotide long non-coding RNA. RefSeq lists it as uncharacterized. The record is from RefSeq and is a predicted model, not a curated record. NCBI's taxonomy places the organism in Eukaryota, Metazoa, Arthropoda, Insecta, Diptera, Calliphoridae. The transcript has 2 exons.
AAAACAUAAUAGUAAUAAUCAUAAAAUAUAUUAUAAUAUAUUAUAUUUUAUAUUAUAUACAUACAUAUAUAUUAAUUAUAUACAAUUAUCUAUUAUAUACAAUUAAUUGAUCUAAAAAAAAAUCGGAGUUUAUGAUCAAAAUUUUUAUAUUAUUCGUGUCUUUGGUGUCGUGUCAAGGCUUAUGGCAUGACCAUCAAAUUAGGUGCUUAAUGUGUGACAGCAAAAAUGAUUAUUUAUGUGAUAAUAUACCAACGUGGAAUUUAAGUGAUCGAAGGCUGAAAUUUAUUUGGUGUUACAAAGGUUGCACAAUUUUAAAGGGUCAAUGGGGUAACGAAAAUGUAACAACCAAGAGAAAGGCAAGAAUGUGGCGCGGGUGUCUUAAUGGCUA